Molecule: unclassified non-coding RNA, 321 nt
Filed under: uncultured fungus
Lineage: Eukaryota; Fungi
Description: partial contains small subunit ribosomal RNA, internal transcribed spacer 1, and 5.8S ribosomal RNA
Rfam family: Eukaryotic small subunit ribosomal RNA (bases 1-73)
Source: RNAcentral
GCAAACUUGGUCAUUUAGAGGAAGUAAAAGUCGUAACAAGGUUUCCGUAGGUGAACCUGCGGAAGGAUCAUUACUGAGUUUUGAAAAGGGUUGUAGCUGGUCUUUUUAAAUAAGGACAUGUGCACACUCUGCUCAUCCACUCUUAAAUCUAAUGUGCAUCUAUGUAGAGUUUGGUGAAAUUGGGUCGAAAGACUUGAUAGGAUCCUACUCUAUGUCCAUAUACAAACGUCCUAGUUAUAGAAUGUUGCCUAGUGUUUAAUACAUUAUAAUAUAACUUUCAGCAACGGAUCUCUUGGCUCUCGCAUCGAUGAAGAACGCAGC